GGGGAUGUGUGGUCUCGACAGGGCCCGAACCCCGAGGAACGCGAGCCGAGGUGCCGUCAGGCCUCGUUAAUCAGGCGGCAAACUGAAGUAACUGGCAACCGCCAGCCUUCUCUCGCCCUCGCGGCCUAAGGCCGUAAGGUGAGCGUGGAAGCAGCCUCGCCCCCGCGGGCUGUGGAAGCGUCAUGCAGCGGGGGUGCGCUCCAGCCUAGCGUCGCGUAAGUCGGAGCAAAGCCCGCAAGGGGACGUGACUGGUCCUCCCACGGACGGUGCCGAUGCCGGCUCGGGAGGAUGACGACAAACCAUCGGACACGCUCGUAGCUGGUCUUCGGCUGAAGGUUCUGGACGGGGAGUUCGACUCUCCCCCAUCUCCACCA
RNAcentral lists this transfer-messenger RNA (374 nucleotides) under Chloroflexota (GNS bacteria). Its description in RNAcentral is "Palsa-1032 sp013696275 Standard tmRNA". It matches the Rfam family "transfer-messenger RNA". From Rfam's summary of the family: Bacterial tmRNA, also known as 10Sa RNA or SsrA, is named for its dual tRNA and mRNA-like properties. The record is from RNAcentral. RNAcentral also lists the same sequence under 1 other name. Lineage: Bacteria; Bacillati.